GAAAUGCGAUAAGUAAUGUGAAUUGCAGAAUUCAGUGAAUCAUCGAAUCUUUGAACGCACAUUGCGCCCGCCAGUAUUCUGGCGGGCAUGCCUGUUCGAGCGUCAUUUCAACCAUCAAGCCCCCUGGCUUGUGUUGGGGACCUGCGGCUGCCGCAGGCCCUGAAAAGCAGUGGCGGGCUCGCUGUCACACCGAGCGUAGUAGCAUACAUCUCGCUCUGGGCGUGCUGCGGGUUCCGGCCGUUAAACCACCUUCGUAACCCAAGGUUGACCUCGGAUCAGGUAGGAAGACCCGCUGAACUUAAGC
RNAcentral lists this unclassified non-coding RNA (304 nucleotides) under plant metagenome. Its description in RNAcentral is "partial contains 5.8S ribosomal RNA, internal transcribed spacer 2, and large subunit ribosomal RNA". The stretch from base 1 to 105 matches the Rfam family "5.8S ribosomal RNA", at positions 50 to 154 of the family's 154-position model. The record is from RNAcentral.